This 898-nucleotide long non-coding RNA is filed under the name Arabidopsis lyrata. Its description in RNAcentral is "long non-coding RNA (ALYR_LNC002293)". The record is from RNAcentral. Lineage: Eukaryota; Viridiplantae; Streptophyta; Magnoliopsida; Brassicales; Brassicaceae.
ACCAACCCGCUCAUAAAAACGACAAAGGUUGCAGAGGAAAACAACGAGAAGAAUUUACAAGUAAAUAUCAUUUACGGAGGUUAUAAAAGUGGACCUGAUGAUUCAGGAAAAGGCCACGAUGCACCGUUACUACCAAAAACACCGAUGAAUAUAAUCUAUGGAGGUUAUAAAAGUGGACCUGAUGGUUCAGGAAAAGGUCACGAUGCACCGUUACCACCAAAAACAUCGAUGAAUAUAAUAUAUGGAGGUUAUAAAAGUGGACCUGAUGGUUCAGGAAAAGGCCACGAUGCACCGUUAUCACCAAAAACACCGAUGAAUAUAAUCUAUGGAAGUUAUAAAAGUGGACCUGAUGGUUCAGGAAAAGGCCACGAUGCACCGUUACCACCAAAAACACCGAUAAAUAUAAUCUAUGGAAGUUAUAAAAGUGGACCUGAUGGUUCAGGAAAAGGCCACGAUGCACCGUUACCACCGAAAACACAGAUGAAUAUAAUCUAUGGAGGUUAUAAAAGUGGACCUGAUGGUUCAGGAAAAGGCCACGAUGCACCGUUACCACCAAAAACAACUUUAAAUAUAAUCUAUGGAAGUUAUAAAAGUGGACCUGAUGGUUCAGGAAAAGGCCACGAUGCACCGUUACCACCGAAAACACCGAUGAAUAUAAUCUAUGGAGGUUAUAAAAGUGGACCUGAUGGUUCAGGAAAAGGCCACGAUGCACCGUUACCACCAAAAACACCGAUGAAUAUAAUCUAUGGAGGUUAUAAAAGUGGACCUGAUGAUUCAGGAAAAGGCCACAAUGCACCGUUACCACCAAAAACACCGAUGAAUAUAAUCUAUAGAGGUUAUAAAAGUGGACCUGAUGGUUCAGGAAAAGGCCACGAUGCACCAUUACCACCAAAAACAC